This is a long non-coding RNA of Danaus plexippus (monarch butterfly), 793 nucleotides long. RefSeq lists it as uncharacterized. The record is from RefSeq and is a predicted model, not a curated record. The transcript is spliced from 2 exons. Lineage: Eukaryota; Metazoa; Arthropoda; Insecta; Lepidoptera; Nymphalidae.
AUCGUCAUCAGUCAAUGUCAACUAUAAUUUUAAAUUGACAAAAUAAACGCAUUAACUCACAAUAAAAUCAAUCUAAAGUAAAACAGAAAAGCUUCCUCCAAACGUGUUUAAUGUUACUUUGAAAUUGUUAGUUUUCAGAAAGGUUUGUCUUCAAAAUAUAAAAUAUUUUUUCCCUUUUCAAAUGGCUUAGUACUAUUAGAAGAAACAGAAAACUAUAUUUAAAAUAUAAUCUCAUAAAAAGUAAUUAAUUCAAACGCAAGUGUCCAUUAAUAUGUGAGCUGCAAAACACUGUGACAUGACCGAUUUACAUAUUAAUUGUACAUGCCAAAUCGGAUGAAGGUUUCAGAGAAAGACUUGUCCGUGGAAAAAACCAACGCUUCCUGACAUCCAAUCAUUCAAGUGACAAGAGCUUGAUAGCUGUAUCAACGAGCAUGAAUUCACUACCAGUAUGGACCUUUGACACGCAGAGUCUAAGACAAAUUUCUAUAAAAGACAAUAGUCUUGUAACAUUCACGUUAGUCGUUUUCAUUAUUGCGCUGGGCCUUUAUUUCAUUUUAAACAAUUGGAAAGGAUUAUCAGGUCCUGAGGAAGUUGAUCUUGGAACAGUGAGAAUAAUCCAACGAACAUAUCGCACAAAUAACCGCAGAAGGACGGACUGACAACUUAUUAUAGUUAUUAUUAAAUAACGAUAUUAAUAAAUAAAGUGCAACAUGAAAUUCAAGAACAUUUAUAUUAAAGUAUACAAUUAAGAAGUUUUUUGAAAUAAAGUCAAUUAAAUAAAUUCUACAGUUGG